This 497-nucleotide ribosomal RNA is filed under the name uncultured bacterium. Its description in RNAcentral is "partial 16S ribosomal RNA". It matches the Rfam family "Bacterial small subunit ribosomal RNA", at positions 28 to 507 of the family's 1533-position model. The record is from RNAcentral.
GACGAACGCUGGCGGCGUGCCUAAUACAUGCAAGUAGAACGCUGAAGAGAGGCUCUUGCUCUUCUUUCAUGAGUUGCGCACGUGUGUGUCACGCGUAUGUAACCUGCCUUAUAUCGGGGUAUAACUAUUGGAAACGAUAUCUUAUACCGCAUAACCUUGUAUUACAUAUUUCAUUUAUUUGAGUUUGGCCAUUUCUCCACUACAACAUGGACCUUCGUUGUAUUAGCUAGUAGGUGAGGUAAUGGCUCACCUAGGCGACGAUACAUAGCCGACCUGAGAGGGUGAUGGGCCAGACUGGGACGGAGACACGGCCAAGACGGCAACGAGAGGCAGCAGUAGGGAAUAUGGGGCAAUGGGGGGAAGAAUGACCGAGCAACGCCGGGUGAGUGAAGAAGGUUUGCGGAUCGUAAAACGAUGUUGUAAGGGAAGAAAGGGGGUGAGAGUGGAAAGUUCACACGGGGAAGGGAGAUGACCAGAGAAGGACGGCUAAAUAAGUG